This 506-nucleotide ribosomal RNA is filed under the name Penicillium sp. KU-DFR3. Its description in RNAcentral is "eukaryotic LSU rRNA". The stretch from base 144 to 296 matches the Rfam family "5.8S ribosomal RNA". Lineage: Eukaryota; Fungi; Ascomycota; Eurotiomycetes; Eurotiales; Aspergillaceae. The record is from RNAcentral. RNAcentral also lists the same sequence under 1 other name.
CCGUGUUUAUUUUACCUUGUUGCUUCGGCGGGCCCGCCUUAACUGGCCGCCGGGGGGCUUACGCCCCCGGGCCCGCGCCCGCCGAAGACACCCUCGAACUCUGUCUGAAGAUUGUAGUCUGAGUGAAAAUAUAAAUUAUUUAAAACUUUCAACAACGGAUCUCUUGGUUCCGGCAUCGAUGAAGAACGCAGCGAAAUGCGAUACGUAAUGUGAAUUGCAAAUUCAGUGAAUCAUCGAGUCUUUGAACGCACAUUGCGCCCCCUGGUAUUCCGGGGGGCAUGCCUGUCCGAGCGUCAUUUCUGCCCUCAAGCACGGCUUGUGUGUUGGGCCCCGUCCUCCGAUCCCGGGGGACGGGCCCGAAAGGCAGCGGCGGCACCGCGUCCGGUCCUCGAGCGUAUGGGGCUUUGUCACCCGCUCUGUAGGCCCGGCCGGCGCUUGCCGAUCAACCCAAAUUUUUAUCCAGGUUGACCUCGGAUCAGGUAGGGAUACCCGCUGAACUUAAGCAU